AACUGGCGCAGUUUAUAUAAACACAGCGCUGAUGUUUUUUUUUUUUUUGGCCUCCGCUCUCAUCUGCCGGAUGAGAAUCUCAAACAUUGGCGCAAUUUCUGAGAAUAACAGGUCAGGCAGCUGCUCUUUUGUUGAGGUCCUCGCUCCUCUCUUGGCGGAAGCUUCUCCUUUGUCUUCUCCGGGUGACAAGUGCUUUAUCCUAAACACACACAGGACUCGGCCAUCGUCUGCUUUUCCUUGGGGAAGCAAUUAAGGCAGAAUCCCCCGGACAGAGAGUAUAGUAAGUGAUGAGGAGACGGCAGAGACCGGCGCCCGCGCUCCACACAACCUCUUAACCCAUCCCCAGAAAUAAAAGGCCAUCGCUGGGAUUAAUCCUCUUCUGCCGCAGCUGGAUUGAUGCUACAUUAACAGAUUACAUCCUGGGCAGAUCGAGCAGGAUUCAGUCCAUUAUAAAGGCCCCCGCCGGGACCCCCACAAGACACUGCCCUGCUCCCUCCUGGGCUCUGCUGCAUCUUACAGCCAAUUCUGCAGGAUCAGGCUCUCGUACGGGCCAUAGUGAGACACCUGACCUACAUGCCAAGUAGGGCCGCCCUCCGCUCCUACUUUAUAAGACCUUCUCCGUCUCCUCGUCCUCCAUCCUUUGGAAAAUUCAAAUCGCAGUCAAAUCGAGUCUCCGCAUCAUCUGACUUGUGCUCGGACGUACAUGCAAAGCAGAACAGACGGAGAUAAGAGGCUCCACUAAGAUCAGCGCCAUCAAAAACCUGGUGUCCGG
Long non-coding RNA from Hyla sarda, 772 nucleotides. RefSeq lists it as uncharacterized. The record is from RefSeq and is a predicted model, not a curated record. Lineage: Eukaryota; Metazoa; Chordata; Amphibia; Anura; Hylidae. The transcript is spliced from 3 exons.